This 468-nucleotide ribosomal RNA is filed under the name uncultured bacterium. RNAcentral's name for it is "partial 16S ribosomal RNA". It matches the Rfam family "Bacterial small subunit ribosomal RNA", at positions 28 to 507 of the family's 1533-position model. The record is from RNAcentral.
GACGAACGCUGGCGGCGUGCUUAACACAUGCAAGUCGAACGGAAAGGCCCUGCUUUUGUGGGGUGCUCGAGUGGCGAACGGGUGAGUAACACGUGAGUAACCUGCCCUUGACUUUGGGAUAACUUCAGGAAACUGGGGCUAAUACCGGAUAGGAGCUCCUGCUGCAUGGUGGGGGUUGGAAAGUUUCGGCGGUUGGGGAUGGACUCGCGGCUUAUCAGCUUGUUGGUGGGGUAGUGGCUUACCAAGGCUUUGACGGGUAGCCGGCCUGAGAGGGUGACCGGCCACAUUGGGACUGCGAUACGGCCCAGACUCCUACGGGAGGCAGCAGUGGGGAAUAUUGCACAAUGGGCGGAAGCCUGAUGAAGCAACGCCGCGUGCGGGAUGACGGCCUUCGGGUUGUAAACCGCUUUCGCCUGUGACGAAGCGUGAGUGACGGUAAUGGGUAAAGAAGCACCGGCUAACUACGUG